Molecule: small RNA, 87 nt
Filed under: Klebsiella michiganensis
Lineage: Bacteria; Pseudomonadati; Pseudomonadota; Gammaproteobacteria; Enterobacterales; Enterobacteriaceae
Also listed under: 1 other name
Description: partial RtT sRNA
Rfam family: RtT RNA
About the family: This family represents a bacterial cis-regulatory element known as RtT RNA. The exact function of RtT is unknown although it is thought that it may be involved in changing the cellular response in relation to amino acid starvation.
Source: RNAcentral
GAUUCGAGCGAAGCGAGAAAGCGUUGCCGCAGGCAACGACCCGAAGGGCGAGGCGCAACGCGCCGAGUAAUCCUUCCCCCACCACCA